GAUGUUGCACUGGGUGUGUAAUGUCAGUGGGGUUUAUAAGAGAAGGCAGAGACACAUCACGGGGCAGAGAUGGUGGAGGGAGGUGGGUAGCUCUCAGGGAGAAUGAUAAAGGGUGAGUUGCUGUGGCAGCUAAAGUUUUCUACUGCUAGUGGCCAAUCUACCUGUCUUAGUCAUCCAGUGUGGCUAUAGCAGAAAUACCAAAAGUGGAUGGCUUUAAUGAACAGAUAUUAUUUUCUCACAGUUUAGGAAGACAGAAAUUCGAUUUCAGGGUGCUGGCUCAAGGGGAAGGCUUUCUCUCUCUGUCAGCUCUGGAGGAAGGUCCUAGUCUCUUCUGAGCUUCUGUUCCUGGGCGAUCUUCAUGUGACUUGGCAUUUGUUUUUCCCUAUCUCUGCUUGCUUGUUUAAUCUCUUUUAUAUCUCAGAAGAGAUUGACUCAAAACACAUCCUGUGCUAAUCCUGCCUCAUUAACAUAACAAAGACAACCCAUUCCCAAAUUGGAUUAUAACCACAGGCCUAGAGGUUAGGACUUACAGCACAUAUUUUGGGGGACAUAAUUCAAUCCAUAACACUACCAGUAUCCUUUUUCUCAGAAGACACCUAACAAAUCCCAGGGAGAUGCAAAUGGAAAGCAUUAGACAACCUCAUUCCCUACCCCUUCCAGGACACGCACUUGAAUUUCCUUUAUGGGAGAGAACAGGUAAAAGGUUUCACUUGCUUCUUAUGGGCCAAAGAAGCUCUGAGUUGUGCUCUAUUUCCUCCACAGAUGAUGGAAACAAUACAUUUAAAAUAAUUGAAGCUGUCUAUGAUGAGUAUGUUAUAUUUCAUCUCACGAACUUCAACAAUGGGGCUACAUUCCAACUGAUGGAACUGUAUGGCCGAAAAGAAGAUAUAAACCAAGAAGUUAAGGAAAAGUUUGUGGAAUAUUGCAAACAAUAUGGAAUUCCUGAGGAAAACAUACUUGAUCUGACCAAAGUUGAUCGCUGUCUCCAGGCACGAAGUGGGGGAGGAGACCUAGGACCCCAGUGAUGAGUGAAUACUUCCUCACUUGGGCUCCAGGAUCUUCUCUACCGUCGUUCCCAUGUCAUCUUGUGAUAAAUUCUGUGACCUGAUUUCCAUCACUUUUCACUUGAAGGGAUCUUCAGAGUCUUCCCUAACUGCCUAGGAAGACUCAUCAAUUCACCAAGAAUCAAAGGUUCUCUCUGAAAUUCUCUCUUUGCCGCACCCAGUAGAGCUUUACCAUGGAUAAGACUUUCCUCUACAUGAUCAAUAAAUAAUUAGCCUUGCUGUCAUGUGAUUUGUUUCUGUGUAUGGGAGAGAUGUAGAGCUGACAACAGUGAAUGAGAUGGCUCCCUGGCCCCACACCUGUAAUUCUCCUCUAGCUUCCCAAAGUCUUCCCUGAGUUUCAGGAUCCUCCCUCCUUGGCAGUAAUUCUCUGUGCAUUAUCCCAAGUCACCAUGAGUGCUGCUUGCCCUUUGAUUUGUCUAUUCCUUAGUGGCCUGAUAAGACUGUUAUAUAUACUAUAAGAACAUAAGACUUGCCCCAUA
Molecule: long non-coding RNA, 1543 nt
Organism: Loxodonta africana (African savanna elephant)
Lineage: Eukaryota; Metazoa; Chordata; Mammalia; Proboscidea; Elephantidae
Exons: 4
Source: RefSeq, a predicted model, not a curated record